This 253-nucleotide ribosomal RNA is filed under the name uncultured bacterium. RNAcentral describes it as "partial 16S ribosomal RNA". It matches the Rfam family "Bacterial small subunit ribosomal RNA", at positions 524 to 776 of the family's 1533-position model. The record is from RNAcentral.
UACGAAGGGUGCAAGCGUUAAUCGGAAUUACUGGGCGUAAAGCGUGCGCAGGCGGUUAUGCAAGACAGAUGUGAAAUCCCCGGGCUCAACCUGGGAACUGCAUUUGUGACUGCAUAGCUAGAGUGCGGCAGAGGGAGAUGGAAUUCCGCGUGUAGCAGUGAAAUGCGUAGAUAUGCGGAGGAACACCGAUGGCGAAGGCAAUCUCCUGGGCCUGCACUGACGCUCAUGCACGAAAGCGUGGGGAGCAAACAGG